This 110-nucleotide non-coding RNA is filed under the name Peptoclostridium litorale. Its description in RNAcentral is "Clostridium litorale TPP sequence". It matches the Rfam family "TPP riboswitch aptamer (THI element)". From Rfam's summary of the family: Vitamin B(1) in its active form thiamin pyrophosphate (TPP) is an essential coenzyme that is synthesised by coupling of pyrimidine and thiazole moieties in bacteria. Lineage: Bacteria; Bacillati; Bacillota; Clostridia; Peptostreptococcales; Peptoclostridiaceae. RNAcentral also lists the same sequence under 1 other name. The record is from RNAcentral.
CAAAAAAACUGGAGGAGUCUGUAAUUACAGUCUGAGAGUGCGGUGUUACCGCUUACUCCUAUCACCUGAUUUGGUUAAUGCCAACGUAGGGAAUGUUUUUAUGAACGUUG